This is a small nucleolar RNA of Amaranthus tricolor (Joseph's coat), 91 nucleotides long. RefSeq annotates it as small nucleolar RNA snoR26. The record is from RefSeq and is a predicted model, not a curated record. Lineage: Eukaryota; Viridiplantae; Streptophyta; Magnoliopsida; Caryophyllales; Amaranthaceae. The transcript has a single exon.
AUUGUAUCAAUGAUGAGUAAAUUCCUUGUUAUCCUUGCACAUUGAUUCAUAAUGAUGAAAAUUAAUGGGGGAAUUUUAAUCUGAGAUGCUC